GACGAACGCUGGCGGCGUGCUUAACACAUGCAAGUCGAACGGAAAGGCCCUGCUUUUGUGGGGUGCUCGAGUGGCGAACGGGUGAGUAACACGUGAGUAACCUGCCCUUGACUUUGGGAUAACUUCAGGAAACUGGGGCUAAUACCGGAUAGGAGCUCCUGCUGCAUGGUGGGGGUUGGAAAGUUUCGGCGGUUGGGGAUGGACUCGCGGCUUAUCAGCUUGUUGGUGGGGUAGUGGCUUACCAAGGCUUUGACGGGUAGCCGGCCUGAGAGGGUGACCGGAAAAAUGGGGAAGGAGAGACGGCCCAGACUCCUAGGGGGGGAAGAAGGGGGGAAAAUGGCACAAGGGGGGGAAGCCGGAUGCAGAAACGCCGGGGGGGGGAGGAGGGCCUUGGGGUGGUAAACCGCUUUCGCCGGGGACGAAGGGGGGGGGACGGUAAUGGGUAAAGAAGCACCGGAUAAAUAAGU
Molecule: ribosomal RNA, 467 nt
Filed under: uncultured bacterium
Lineage: Bacteria
Description: partial 16S ribosomal RNA
Rfam family: Bacterial small subunit ribosomal RNA
Source: RNAcentral